RNAcentral lists this ribosomal RNA (528 nucleotides) under Bifidobacterium longum subsp. infantis. RNAcentral's name for it is "bacterial SSU rRNA". It matches the Rfam family "Bacterial small subunit ribosomal RNA", at positions 161 to 704 of the family's 1533-position model. The record is from RNAcentral. Lineage: Bacteria; Bacillati; Actinomycetota; Actinomycetes; Bifidobacteriales; Bifidobacteriaceae.
UGGUAAUGCCGGAUGCUCCAGUUGAUCGCAUGGUCUUCUGGGAAAGCUUUCGCGGUAUGGGAUGGGGUCGCGUCCUAUCAGCUUGACGGCGGGGUAACGGCCCACCGUGGCUUCGACGGGUAGCCGGCCUGAGAGGGCGACCGGCCACAUUGGGACUGAGAUACGGCCCAGACUCCUACGGGAGGCAGCAGUGGGGAAUAUUGCACAAUGGGCGCAAGCCUGAUGCAGCGACGCCGCGUGAGGGAUGGAGGCCUUCGGGUUGUAAACCUCUUUUAUCGGGGAGCAAGCGAGAGUGAGUUUACCCGUUGAAUAAGCACCGGCUAACUACGUGCCAGCAGCCGCGGUAAUACGUAGGGUGCAAGCGUUAUCCGGAAUUAUUGGGCGUAAAGGGCUCGUAGGCGGUUCGUCGCGUCCGGUGUGAAAGUCCAUCGCUUAACGGUGGAUCCGCGCCGGGUACGGGCGGGCUUGAGUGCGGUAGGGGAGACUGGAAUUCCCGGUGUAACGGUGGAAUGUGUAGAUAUCGGAAAA